AGGCAGCAGCGCUUCGUACCCCCCGGAGGGGCGCCCACUCUCCCCUCCCCGCAAAGACAGCAGGAUGCUCCAGGCCCCUUCACCACGGCGCGAGAAGGCAGAGGGACGGAGGGCCCCUGCUCCAAGCGGCCUCCAGGGGCUGGGAGGCGGGGAGGAGGGCGGGCCGGAGCGGGGGAGGGGCCGCCGUGGCUAUAAAGGCCCGGCCCGCGGCCCCGCUCCAGCCCGGGACGCACACGUGCGCGCUGCGCCGCAGCCGCCACCGCGGGAGCCCCGAGACCCGCGUGCCCCUGGCCCGGGCGGCAGUGGCGGCGGCAUGUGCAGCGCGCGACGGAGCUGACGGCGGCCGCCGGCCCCAUGUCCUUCGCAAUGCUGCGUUCGGCGCCGCCCGGCCGCUACCUGUACCCUGAAGUGAGCCCGCUGUCGGAGGACGAGGACCGAGGCAGCGAGAGCUCGGGUUCAGACGAGAAACCCUGCCGUGUGCACGCGGCGCGCUGCGGCCUCCAGGGCGCCCGAAGACGGGCCGGGGGCCGGCGGGUGGGGGGCAGUGGCCUGGGGCCCGGAGGGCGGCCGGGCCGCGAGCCCCGGCAGCGGCACACGGCGAACGCGCGGGAGCGGGACCGCACCAACAGCGUGAACACGGCUUUCACCGCGCUACGCACGCUCAUCCCCACCGAGCCCGCUGACCGCAAGCUCUCCAAGAUCGAGACCCUGCGCCUGGCCUCCAGCUAUAUCUCACACCUGGGCAACGUGCUGCUGGUGGGCGAGGCCUGCGGCGACGGGCAGCCCUGCCACUCAGGGCCUGCCUUCUUCCACGCAUCGCGUGCCGGCAGCCCCCCGCCCCCGCCGCCCCCACCCCCUGCCCGUGACGGCGAGAACGCCCAGCCCAAACAGAUCUGCACCUUCUGCCUCAGCAACCAGAGAAAGUUGACAGCACGCGUGAGCUCCUGGGGCCUGAACAUCUGGGAGAUUUAAUUUUACAAUUUCGGCUGUGCAGCAGCGCACUCUCCUCCCCAAACUGCUCGGGGAAGCCGGGAGCAAGGACCGGGACAGAAAGACGGCGAUCCGGAGUUAGAGGCGACGUCGGGCCAUCCACGGAGAGCCCCAGACCUGACUCAGGCACAGGCCUCGCUGAGGGCACCCCCAGGCCCACCUGGCCCCAGCUGCAAGUGGGGCUGAUGGACAGACAGGCGGUGGGACGCGCGGCCACCACAGCACUUGCCCGGCCCCACUGGAACUUUCCGUGCUGGCUCGCUACCUGGUUCUCCUCUGGCCAUUAUGUGCUAGCAUUCUGUGUCUUUGAUAUGAUAAUAUAAAGUCUGGAAAUUUUGUAUAAUUAAAAACAAAACAGUAUCUUCCAAACGCAGA
Bubalus bubalis (water buffalo) is the source of this 1365-nucleotide RNA transcript. It is a transcript of the gene named scleraxis bHLH transcription factor, with no coding region annotated. The record is from RefSeq and is a predicted model, not a curated record. The transcript has 3 exons. NCBI's taxonomy places the organism in Eukaryota, Metazoa, Chordata, Mammalia, Artiodactyla, Bovidae.